Molecule: ribosomal RNA, 468 nt
Filed under: uncultured bacterium
Lineage: Bacteria
Description: partial 16S ribosomal RNA
Rfam family: Bacterial small subunit ribosomal RNA
Source: RNAcentral
GACGAACGCUGGCGGCGUGCUUAACACAUGCAAGUCGAACGGAAAGGCCCUGCUUUUGUUGGGUUCUCGAUUGGCGAACGGGUGAGUAACACGUGAGUAACCUGCCCUUGACUUUCGGAUAACUUCAGGAAACUGGGGCUAUUACCGGAGAGAAGCUCUUGCUCCAUGUUGUUGAUUGGAAAGUUUCGGCGGUGGGGGAUGUACUCGCGGCUUACCCGCUGGUUGGGGGGGUAGUGGCUUACCAAGCUUUUGACGGGUAGCCUGCAUGAGAGGGUGACCGGCCACAUGGGGACUGAGAGAGGGCGCAGACGCCUACGGGAGGCAGCAGGGGAGAAUAUUGCACAAUGGGCGGAAGCCUGAUGCAGCAACGCUGCGUGCGGGAUGACGGCCUUCGGGUUGUAAACCGCUUUGGAAUGUGACGAAGCGUGAGUGACGGUAAUGGGUAAAGAAGCACCGGCUAACUACGUG